UAAGACGAACCGUCCUAACGUUGUUCGGAAUCACUGGGCUUAAAGGGCGCGUAGGCGGGUGAUCAAGUCAGGGGUGAAAUCUUUCGGCUUAACCGGAAAACAGCCCCUGAUACUGGUUGUCUUGAGGGAGGUAGGGGUAUGUGGAACUUCUGGUGGAGCGGUGAAAUGCGUUGAUAUCAGAAGGAACGCCGGUGGCGAAAGCGACGUACUGGACCUCUUCUGACGCUGAGGCGCGAAAGCUAGGGUAGCGAACGGGAUUAGAUACCCCGGUAGUCCUAGCCCUAAACGAUGGGUACUAGGUUGUAGACUUCCAUGGGUUUACAGCCGAAGCAAAAGUGGUAAGUACCCCGCCUGGGGAGUAUGGUCGCAAGGCUG
This 375-nucleotide ribosomal RNA is filed under the name uncultured bacterium. RNAcentral's name for it is "bacterial SSU rRNA". It matches the Rfam family "Bacterial small subunit ribosomal RNA", at positions 521 to 896 of the family's 1533-position model. The record is from RNAcentral.